This is a long non-coding RNA of Syngnathoides biaculeatus (alligator pipefish), 305 nucleotides long. RefSeq lists it as uncharacterized. The transcript is spliced from 3 exons. The record is from RefSeq and is a predicted model, not a curated record. Lineage: Eukaryota; Metazoa; Chordata; Actinopteri; Syngnathiformes; Syngnathidae.
AAUGCUUGCUUCUGGUAGUGUCCAAACACCUCAAAGACGAUCGGCUGAGUGCUGAUGUAGUCCACGAACGAUUUGGUCACUUCAACGGCGACCUGCAAAGAAACGCGGGCCACAGUGUGAGUUCGUGAUGAGCCGGAGGGUUCUGUGGAGAAGGCCUCGUCGUGCCGGUGGAUGAAACUGCGCACAGGAUAAGACGACACGCUCAAGGUGCAUGGGCGAGGGAUCUCUUACUUGAACUGGCAGAAGAUGUCGGCGUACUCUGCAGAGAUGCUGGACGCUUGCAGCACGGUCACCCGGAAGGUGAA